Molecule: ribosomal RNA, 408 nt
Filed under: uncultured bacterium
Lineage: Bacteria
Description: bacterial SSU rRNA
Rfam family: Bacterial small subunit ribosomal RNA
Source: RNAcentral
AACGAACGCUGGCGGCAGGCUUAACACAUGCAAGUCGAGCGCCCCGCAAGGGAGCGGCAGACGGGUGAGUAACGCGUGGGAACAUACCCUUUGGUUCGGAAUAACUCAGGGAAACUUGAGCUAAUACCGGAUACGUCCGUAAGGAGAAAGAUUUAUCGCCAAAGGAUUGGCCCGCGUCCGAUUAGCUAGUUGGUGAGGUAACCGGCUCACCAAGGCUACGAUCGGUAGCUGGUCUGAGAGGAUGAUCAGCCACAUUGGGACUGAGACACGGCCCAAACUCCUACGGGAGGCAGCAGUGGGGAAUAUUGGACAAUGGGCGCAAGCCUGAUCCACGCCAUGCCGCGUGAGUGAUGAAGGCCUUAGGGUUGUAAAGCUCUUUUGUCCGGAAGAUAAUGACUGUACCGGAAG